This 26-nucleotide unclassified non-coding RNA is filed under the name Mus musculus (house mouse). RNAcentral describes it as "oocyte_clustered_small_RNA11720". Lineage: Eukaryota; Metazoa; Chordata; Mammalia; Rodentia; Muridae. The record is from RNAcentral.
AAUCAGACCAUUGAAGGCAGGGUCAG